UACAGAGGGUGCAAGCGUUGUUCGGAAUUAUUGGGCGUAAAGCGCGUGUAGGCGGCUUAGCAAGUCGGGCGUGAAAGCCCUCGGCUCAACCGAGGAAGUGCACCCGAAACUGCUGAGCUUGAGUGCCGGAGAGGAUGGCGGAAUUCCCCAAGUAGAGGUGAAAUUCGUAGAUAUGGGGAGGAACACCGGUGGCGAAGGCGGCCAUCUGGACGGUAACUGACGCUGAGACGCGAAAGCGUGGGGAGCGAACAGG
This 253-nucleotide ribosomal RNA is filed under the name uncultured bacterium. RNAcentral describes it as "partial 16S ribosomal RNA". It matches the Rfam family "Bacterial small subunit ribosomal RNA", at positions 524 to 776 of the family's 1533-position model. The record is from RNAcentral.